UCUCCAGACUCCUACGGGAGGCAGCAGUGGGGAAUAUUGGGCAAUGGGCGCAAGCCUGACCCAGCAACGCCGCGUGAAGGAAGAAGGCCCUCGGGUUGUAAACUUCUUUUAUCAGGGACGAAACAAAUGACGGUACCUGAUGAAUAAGCCACGGCUAACUACGUGCCAGCAGCCGCGGUAAUACGUAGGUGGCAAGCGUUAUCCGGAUUUACUGGGUGUAAAGGGCGUGCAGCCGGGCUGACAAGUCAGAUGUGAAAUCCCGCGGCUCAACCGCGGAACUGCAUUUGAAACUGUCAGUCUUGAGUACCGGAGAGGUCAUCGGAAUUCCUUGUGUAGCGGUGAAAUGCGUAGAUAUACGGAGGAACACCAGUGGCGAAGGCGGCCUGCUGGACAAUAACUGACGCUGAGGCGCGAAAGCGUGGGGAGCAAACAGGAUUAGAUACCCGCGUAA
RNAcentral lists this ribosomal RNA (451 nucleotides) under uncultured bacterium. RNAcentral describes it as "partial 16S ribosomal RNA". It matches the Rfam family "Bacterial small subunit ribosomal RNA", at positions 328 to 793 of the family's 1533-position model. The record is from RNAcentral.